Long non-coding RNA from Drosophila montana, 665 nucleotides. RefSeq lists it as uncharacterized. The record is from RefSeq and is a predicted model, not a curated record. The transcript has 3 exons. Lineage: Eukaryota; Metazoa; Arthropoda; Insecta; Diptera; Drosophilidae.
GCUUCAGUCGAUGCUUCACUUUCUUAACGUGAAAAUGUCAAUUUGCCGCUGCUUUAAACUAUUGUUGUUAUGGGUAUUACUGUGUUUUUGUAUUAUGCGCCAUGUGCAGGCGCGACAAGAUAACAUAGUAAAGCGCAAUUGCUCUGAGAAUGGACAAUAUUGCCAAAUGCAUAUGGACUGUUGUUCCCGAAAGUGCAUGACAUAUAUGUACAAGUGCGCGCCCAGAGUGCCAGAGAAAUAUCCUGAAAACAAUGGCAGCCCAACGGGCUUGAAUUCUCUCCCAGACUUUUGGUGGCCUCUAUACCAUGCGAAUGCAUCACUCAACGAAGAUCUGGAGAUUGUUACGCUGCAAGAUGAUAAGACCACAACAAGAGCUGAGCUCGUUGAAAACAACAGCCAAUCAGUGGAGAAAGCGGGCAUUGCCUACGAUAUAGUCACUCCAUCAAGCACUGCUCCAACCGCGAGUACACCCCGCUGUAACCGCGUUGGCGAUGUGUGCUCAGAUAGCAGCGAAUGCUGUACAAUGCGUUGUCACACCUACCUCCAUAAGUGCGUCACCUAAAGUCACAAGCCCGCUUACUAACUGAACCUACCCACAUGUAUUUAUAUGGCAUAAGUUUUUGUAUGCUGAUUCUGUAUUGUUAAUAAACAAGUCUUUGCACAUA